AUGUGCAAGGUCAUCAACACGGUCCAGUCGCUAGCCUGGCUGCGCCGCGCCGUGCGGCGGUGGCGCUCCCGAGCAGCGGCCUCGGUGCGGCCCAACAAGGAUGUGUUGGUGCCGGCCGGGCACGUGGCGGUGUGCGUGAGGGGCCGCGGCGACGGGGAGUCGUCGUCGAGGCGGUUCGUUGUGCCGGUGGCGCAGCUGAGCCACCCGGCCUUCUGGGAGCUGCUCCAGCAGGCGGAGGAGGAGUACGGUUUCCCGUCGGCCCCCGGCCCCCUCGCGCUCCCCUGCGACGAGGACCACCUCCGCGACGUCCUCCGCCGCGUCUCGUCCUCCGACUCUGAGGAGCGCCCCUCCUUUCGUCGCCGCCGUGGCGUCGUGGCGGCGCCAAGCGAUGACUCGCGGCCGCUGCUGCAGGGGGUGGCCGUGAAGUAG
RNAcentral lists this ribosomal RNA (429 nucleotides) under Triticum aestivum (bread wheat). RNAcentral's name for it is "partial small subunit ribosomal RNA". Lineage: Eukaryota; Viridiplantae; Streptophyta; Magnoliopsida; Poales; Poaceae. The record is from RNAcentral.